CAUGUGGUGAUAUUCCAGAGUUAUAGCAGAAUUCAUGCUAGCUACAGGGUUAAUAGAACAAAAACCUGAUCCUGCUUCGGAGAGCUUGCAGUGAAGAGUAAGUCCUUGUGCUGCUACAUGGUGAGCCUCAGCAACUGACCCAAACUAAAAAUAAUAUGGCAAGAAAAAAACAUGCGAUUUCAGCUCCACAAGUUAUCUAAUCAGUCCCUUGUGUCACUAUGAACAGGAUUGUGCCAGAAGAGGUAAAGAGUGCUUGAUCAUUCUUGAGG
Molecule: long non-coding RNA, 269 nt
Filed under: Cyanistes caeruleus (blue tit)
Lineage: Eukaryota; Metazoa; Chordata; Aves; Passeriformes; Paridae
Description: lncRNA (ENSCCEG00000015944.1)
Source: RNAcentral